This 81-nucleotide transfer RNA is filed under the name Paragonimus skrjabini miyazakii. RNAcentral describes it as "Paragonimus miyazakii tRNA". It matches the Rfam family "tRNA". From Rfam's summary of the family: Transfer RNA (tRNA) molecules are approximately 80 nucleotides in length. Their secondary structure includes four short double-helical elements and three loops (D, anti-codon, and T loops). Further hydrogen bonds mediate the characteristic L-shaped molecular structure. tRNAs have two regions of fundamental functional importance: the anti-codon, which is responsible for specific mRNA codon recognition, and the 3' end, to which the tRNAs corresponding amino acid is attached (by aminoacyl-tRNA synthetases). tRNAs cope with the degeneracy of the genetic code in two manners: having more than one tRNA (with a specific anti-codon) for a particular amino acid; and 'wobble' base-pairing, i.e. permitting non-standard base-pairing at the 3rd anti-codon position. The record is from Rfam by way of RNAcentral. Lineage: Eukaryota; Metazoa; Platyhelminthes; Trematoda; Plagiorchiida; Troglotrematidae.
GGCUUCGUAGCUCAGUUGGUAGAGCGCUUGUCCCUUUGAGACAUGGUGUUUCUGUCGCUGGUUCGAAUCCAGCCGAAGCCC